RNAcentral lists this ribosomal RNA (497 nucleotides) under uncultured bacterium. RNAcentral describes it as "partial 16S ribosomal RNA". It matches the Rfam family "Bacterial small subunit ribosomal RNA", at positions 28 to 507 of the family's 1533-position model. The record is from RNAcentral.
GAUGAACGCUGGCGGCGUGCCUAAUACAUGCAAGUCGAGCGAACGGACGAGAAGCUUGCUUCUCUGAUGUUAGCGGCGGACGGGUGAGUAACACGUGGAUAACCUACCUAUAAGACUGGGAUAACUUCGGGAAACCGGAGCUAAUACCGGAUAAUAUUUUGAACCGCAUGGUUCAAAAGUGAAAGACGGUCUUGCUGUCACUUAUAGAUGGAUCCGCGCUGCAUUAGCUAGUUGGUAAGGUAACGGCUUACCAAGGCAACGAUGCAUAGCCGACCUGAGAGGGUGGGCGGCCGAACUGGGAGUGAGCAGCGCCCCAGACGCCAGCGGGAGGCGACAAUGGGGAUGAUUCCGGAAUGGGAGAAAGCGGGGAGGAGCAGAACGGGGUGAGAAAAGAAGGUCUGCGAAUGGGAAACCGUUUUAAUAGGGAAAAAAAAUAUGUGAAAGAAACUGUCCAAUUGUUGACGUUACAAAAUGAAAAGCCAAGGCCAAACUAGAUG